CGAAGGGGGCUAGCGUUGCUCGGAAUUACUGGGCGUAAAGGGUGCGUAGGCGGGUCUUUAAGUCAGAGGUGAAAUCCUGGAGCUCAACUCCAGAACUGCCUUUGAUACUGAGGAUCUUGAGUUCGGGAGAGGUGAGUGGAACUGCGAGUGUAGAGGUGAAAUUCGUAGAUAUUCGCAAGAACACCAGUGGCGAAGGCGGCUCACUGGCCCGAUACUGACGCUGAGGCACGAAAGCGUGGGGAGCAAACAGGAUUAGAUACCCUGGUAGUCCACGCCGUAAACGACGAAUGCCAGCCGUUAGUGGGUUUACUCACUAGUGGCGCAGCUAACGCUUUAAGCAUUCCGCCUGGGGAUACGGUCGCAAGAUUA
RNAcentral lists this ribosomal RNA (369 nucleotides) under uncultured organism. RNAcentral describes it as "bacterial SSU rRNA". It matches the Rfam family "Bacterial small subunit ribosomal RNA", at positions 526 to 896 of the family's 1533-position model. The record is from RNAcentral.